AUAUCAAUAAGCGGAGGAAAAGAAACCAACAGGGAUUGCCCUAGUAACGGCGAGUGAAGCGGCAAGAGCUCAAAUUUGAAAUCUGACUUUAUGUCCGAAUUGUAAUUUGUAGAGGAAUAUUCGGCAAUGUCAUCGGUCCAAGUCUUUUGGAACAAAGCGUCUUAGAGGGUGAGAGCCCCGUACCCGACUGCUUGACAGAGCUAUGUGAAUAUCCUUCGAAGAAUCGAGUUGUUUGGGAAUGCAGCUCAAAAUGGGUGGUAAAUUCCAUCUAAAGCUAAAUAUUGGCCAGAGACCGAUAGCGCACAAGUAGAGUGAUCGAAAGAUGAAAAGCACUUUGGAAAGAGAGUGAAAUAGUACGUGAAAUUGUUGAAAGGGAAGCGCUUAUAACCAGACUUGUUUGCUUAUGUUCCCGUGGUCUUUUCACGUGGUUUCUCAUUUGCUAUCAGGCCAGCAUCAGUUUUAGGGUUGGAUAAAGGUUUG
Molecule: ribosomal RNA, 480 nt
Filed under: Phragmocephala glanduliformis
Lineage: Eukaryota; Fungi; Ascomycota; Dothideomycetes; Pleosporales; Melanommataceae
Description: eukaryotic LSU rRNA
Rfam family: Eukaryotic large subunit ribosomal RNA
Source: RNAcentral